GCCAUGACUGUACGAUCACCCCCAACUACACGUGGAUGGAGAUCAACUGGGCCCCCCUGGUGUGGGUCAACAGGUCCUCCCCUAUCACCCGCCCUAUAUGGGGCAUACAGGUUGUUGUGGCAAUCAUAAGUUUUUUGGAGACCAUCCUCAUCACAUACCUUAGCUAUAAGGGCAGCCUUGUUCAGUCAGUGUUCAACAUCAGGUUCCUGUUAGAAAUGAUCAACACAGUCCCAUUCAUCAUCACAGUA
Branchiostoma floridae (Florida lancelet) is the source of this 248-nucleotide long non-coding RNA. RefSeq lists it as uncharacterized. The record is from RefSeq and is a predicted model, not a curated record. Lineage: Eukaryota; Metazoa; Chordata; Leptocardii; Amphioxiformes; Branchiostomatidae. The transcript has 3 exons.